GUGUCAGCCGCCGCGGUAAGACGGAGGGUGCUAGCGUUGUUCGGAAUCACUGGGCGUAAAGGGCGCGUAGGCGGCCCUGGCAGUCGGCUUGUGAAAGCCCGGGGCUCAACCCCGGAGGUGCGGCCGAAACACCAGGGCUGGAGGCCGGAAGAGGAGGGUGGAAUACCCAGUGUAGAGGUGAAAUUCGUAGAUAUUGGGUGGAACACCGGUGGCGAAAGCGGCUCUCUGGUCCGGACCUGACGCUGAGGCGCGAAAGCGUGGGGAGCAAACAGGAUUAGAUACCCUGGUAGUCCACGCCCUAAACGAUGUGGGCUAGACGUCGGGGGGCUUGCCCCUCGGUGUCGCAGCGAACGCGUUAAGCCCACCGCCUGGGGAGUACGGCCGCAAGGUUAAA
RNAcentral lists this ribosomal RNA (394 nucleotides) under uncultured bacterium. RNAcentral describes it as "bacterial SSU rRNA". It matches the Rfam family "Bacterial small subunit ribosomal RNA", at positions 505 to 898 of the family's 1533-position model. The record is from RNAcentral.